CGCUGGCGGCGUGCCUAAUACAUGCAAGUCGAGCGAACGGACGAGAAGCUUGCUUCUCUGAUGUUAGCGGCGGAAAUGAGUAACACGUGGAUAACCUACCUAUAAGACUGGGAUAACUUCGGGAAACCGGAGCUAAUACCGGAUAAUAUUUUGAACCGCAUGGUUCAAAAGUGAAAGACGGUCUUGCUGUCACUUAUAGAUGGAUCCGCGCUGCAUUAGCUAGUUGGUAAGGUGGGGCUUACCAAGGCAACGAUGCAUAGCCGACCUGAGAGGGUGAUCGGCCACACUGGAACUGAGACACGGUCCAGACUCCUACGGGAGGCAGCAGUAGGGAAUCUUCCGCAAUGGGCGAAAGCCUGACGGAGCAACGCCGCGUGAGUGAUGAAGGUCUUCGGAUCGUAAAACUCUGUUAUUAGGGAACCCAUAUGUGUAAGUAACUGUGCACAUCUUGACGGUACCUAAUCAGAAAGCCACGGCUAACUACGUGCCAGCAGCCGCGGUAAUACGUAGGUGGCAAGCGUUAUCCGGAAUUAUUGGGCGUAAAGCGCGCGUAGGCGGUUUUUUAAGUCUGAUGGGAAAGCCCACGGCUCAACCGUGGAGGGUCAUUGGAAACUGGAAAACUUGAGUGCAGAAGAGGAAAGUGGAAUUCCAUGUGUAGCGGUGAAAUGCGCAGAGAUAUGGAGGAACACCAGUGGCGAAGGCGACUUUCUGGUCUGUAACUGACGCUGAUGUGCGAAAGCGUGGGGAUCAAACAGGAUUAGAUACCCUGGUAGUGCACGCCGUAAACGAUGAGUGCUAAGUGUUAGGGGGUUUCCGCCCCUUAGUGCUGCAGCUAACGCAUUAAGCACUCCGCCUGGGGAGUACGACCGCAAGGUUGAAACUCAAAGGAAUUGACGGGGACCCGCACAAGCGGUCGGCAUGUGGUUUAAUUCGAAGCAACGCGAAGAACCUUACCAAAUCUUGACAUCCUUUGACAACUCUAGAGAUAGAGCCUUCCCCUUCGGGGGACAAAGUGACAGGUGGUGCAUGGUUGUCGUCAGCUCGUGUCGUGAGAUGUUGGGUUAAGUCCCGCAACGAGCGCAACCCUUAAGCUUAGUUGCCAUCAUUAAGUUGGGCACUCUAAGUUGACUGCCGGUGACAAACCGGAGGAAGGUGGGGAUGACGUCAAAUCAUCAUGCCCCUUAUGAUUUGGGCUACACACGUGCUACAAUGGACAAUACAAAGGGCAGCGAAACCGCGAGGUCAAGCAAAUCCCAUAAAGUUGUUCUCAGUUGGAUUGUAGUCUGCAACUCGACUACAUGAAGCUGGAAUCGCUAGUAAUCGUAGAUCAGCAUGCUACGGUGAAUACGUUCGGGGUCUUGUACACACCGUUGUCACACCACGAGAGUUUGUAACACCCGAAGCCGGUGGAGUAACCUUUUAGGAGCUAGCCGUCGAAGGUGGGAC
RNAcentral lists this ribosomal RNA (1446 nucleotides) under Staphylococcus aureus. Its description in RNAcentral is "bacterial SSU rRNA". It matches the Rfam family "Bacterial small subunit ribosomal RNA". Lineage: Bacteria; Bacillati; Bacillota; Bacilli; Caryophanales; Staphylococcaceae. The record is from RNAcentral.